GAAGGAGGACUAGUUGGAGAUGGAGCAGAGGAUUCUUUAGUUGGAUAAGAGGCCAUUGCAUUGACAGCACAAACACCAUAUGCUAGAUCAGUGUUCCUUCUUAGAUAGAAAUAACCGUCCAUACCCCAAUCUGUACCCCAUGAAUUCUUCACAAUCCAAUAAUCUUCAUCAUCUUCGGAGCCAUAACCAACGAUAAGAACAGCAUGAUCUAUGUCGUCAGGAUUAUCAGAGCAGCUACCAUCAUAGAUCCCACUUGUAUAAAGUUGAAAAUCGAUUGCAGAACCAUCCAUACCCACACUAAUAGGUUGAUAAGCAGUAGCACACAAGAGAGCACUGUCUGAUUCAGCUACGUCUUCGUACCCAUCAAUAGAUACAAUUUUUCUCUCCUCCUUGGUGGUGUUGCAGGUGCCAUCUACACCAGUGUAAGGAUAAUCAGCUUCUGUAUCAAUUCCACCAUUGUCAAUAACCCACUCAAAAGCAUAGUCCAUAUAGCCUCCAUCACAUCCAUCAUUGGUUGAAUCACAAUCUACGAGUUCUUGUUCUGAAAGGCUAAUGAGGUCUCCAGUGACCAGGGCAUUUACUCCUUCUAUUGCGCCAGUUGUAGAGAAUGACCAACAACUUCCACAGUCUCCUUGGUCCUUAACAGCAGUAACAACUCCCUUCUUCCUCCAAUCCAAGCUCGAAGGCAAAUCAUCGCAGGUCUGCAAAUUUCUCUGCCACCUACUAGUCUUCAGAUUGCUAUUUUUACUGAUGGGUUUUUUCACUUUCGACAAAUAUCGUUGCCUAAACUCCUCAUUGCUCAUAUCAGCAAACUUGUUCAAUCCAACUGUAUGCCCUGAAUGCGACUCUCUCUUUGCAUUCUUUUCGAUCACAUACUUCAAGUUCCUACGAAAAUUUUUGAACCUCUUUUCUGUCUCCUCUGCAUGCCUGUAAACCUUUCUGUACUUCUGUUUCCAUUGUUGAAAGAGCUCGAUGACACGUUCCUCUGAAAGCAGCUCAUGAAGGUCAUUACCCACUAUGGAGUACUCACUAGGGAGGCUCAAAGAGAGGCAUAUUGGUGGAGCUAAAAGCAAGAAAAAGAAAAGCAAUUGGGAUUUUUGGAAACCCAUUUCUUUCUGAAACUGGGUUACCUCUGG
Molecule: unclassified non-coding RNA, 1136 nt
Filed under: Hevea brasiliensis (rubber tree)
Lineage: Eukaryota; Viridiplantae; Streptophyta; Magnoliopsida; Malpighiales; Euphorbiaceae
Source: RNAcentral